GAUGAACGCUGGCGGCGUGCCUAAUACAUGCAAGUCGAGCGAACAGACGAGGAGCUUGCUCCUCUGACGUUAGCGGCGGACGGGUGAGUAACACGUGGAUAACCUACCUAUAAGACUGGGAUAACUUCGGGAAACCGGAUCUAAUACCGGAUAAUAUAUUGAACCGCGUGGUUCAAUAGUGAAAGACGGUUUUGCUGUCACUUAUAGAUGUAUCCUGGCCGCAUUAGCUAGUUGGUAAGGUAACGGCUUACCAAGGCAACGAUGCGUAGCCGACCUGAGAGGGUGAUCGGCCACACUGGAACUGAGACACGGUCCAGACUCCUACGGGAGGCAGCAGUAGGGAAUCUUCCGCAAUGGGCGAAAGCCUGACGGAGCAACGCCGCGUGAGUGAUGAAGGUCUUCGGAUCGUAAAACUCUGUUAUUAGGGAAGAACAAAUGUGUAAGUAAAUAUGCACGUCUUGACGGUACCUAAUCAGAAAGCCACGGCUAACUACGUG
Molecule: ribosomal RNA, 497 nt
Filed under: uncultured bacterium
Lineage: Bacteria
Description: partial 16S ribosomal RNA
Rfam family: Bacterial small subunit ribosomal RNA
Source: RNAcentral